AUGAACGCUAGCGGCAGGCUAACACAUGCAAGUCGAGGGGCAGCGAGAUGUAGCAAUACAUGUCGGCGACCGGCGCACGGGUGCGUAACGCGUAUGCAACCUACCAUAUACAGGAGGAUAACCAUUCGAAAGAAUGACUAAUACUCCAUAGUAUUAUUUUGAGGCAUCUUAGAAUAAUUAAAGAAUUUCGGUAUAUGCUGGGCAUGCGUGACAUUAGCUAGUUGGAGAGGUAACGGCCCACCAAGGCUACGAUGUCUAGGGGUUUUGAGAGGAAGAUCCCCCACACUGGUACUGAGACACGGACCAGACUCCUACGGGAGACAGCAGUGAGGAAUAUUGGUCAAUGGACGGAAGUCUGAACCAGCCAUGCCGCGUGAAGGAAAAGACUGCCCUAUGGGUUGUAAACUUCUUUUAUACGGGGAUAAACCUAUCUUUGCGAAGAUAGCUGAAGGUACCGUAUGAAUAAGCAUCGGCUAACUCCGUGCCAGCAGCUGC
RNAcentral lists this ribosomal RNA (495 nucleotides) under uncultured bacterium. Its description in RNAcentral is "bacterial SSU rRNA". It matches the Rfam family "Bacterial small subunit ribosomal RNA", at positions 29 to 518 of the family's 1533-position model. The record is from RNAcentral.